CAGUCGCCGCGGGAAUACGAAGGGGGCUAGCGUUGUUCGGAAUCACUGGGCGUAAAGGGUGCGUAGGCGGAUUUUUAAGUCAGGGGUGAAAUCCCGAGGCUCAACCUCGGAACUGCCUUUGAUACUGGGGAUCUUGAGUCCGGAAGAGGUGAGUGGAACUGCGAGUGUAGAGGUGAAAUUCGUAGAUAUUCGCAAGAACACCGGUGGCGAAGGCGGCUCACUGGUCCGGAACUGACGCUGAGGCACGACAGCGUGGGGAGCAAACAGGAUUAGAUACCCCAGUAGUCCCUGUCUCUUAUAC
RNAcentral lists this ribosomal RNA (301 nucleotides) under uncultured bacterium. Its description in RNAcentral is "partial 16S ribosomal RNA". It matches the Rfam family "Bacterial small subunit ribosomal RNA", at positions 509 to 807 of the family's 1533-position model. The record is from RNAcentral.